Rhinopithecus roxellana (golden snub-nosed monkey) is the source of this 4442-nucleotide RNA transcript. It is a transcript of the gene named DTW domain-containing protein 2-like, with no coding region annotated. Lineage: Eukaryota; Metazoa; Chordata; Mammalia; Primates; Cercopithecidae. The record is from RefSeq and is a predicted model, not a curated record. The transcript has 2 exons.
ACCAUGCCUGGCUAAUUUUUGUAUUUUUAGUAGAGACACGGUUUCACCAUGUUGGCCAGGCUGGUUUUGAACUCCUGACCUCAGGUGAUCCACUCGCCUCGGCCUCCCAAAAUACUGGGCCCCAAGUAUAAUUUGAGCCCCAGUACUGAUUGAGUCCAUGAAGUAUGUCAGUUUGUAUAUUUUAGCAAAUGCUAAAGUUAAUUUAGACCUUAUGUUGUAGAGACAAAAAACCCAAUCAGUGUCCUAUUUAUCUUUUUGUAAUAUAAAUUCUUUGGUAUAUACAUUCUGGAUUUCUAAUUGGGCCAAAUUAUGGACCUUUGUUUUAAUUUAGUUAUAUAUGCUAUAUCCAUAUCUAUAGGUACAUAUACGAUCUAUUCCUUAUGUCUAUAUUAAAAUAUUAUAUGGAUGGCCUGACCAGAGUGUCUGCCAUGGAGUCACAGAAAGAGGCGCCAACACUCCAGGAACCCGUCGCGCGGCCAGCUGGGGCCUCAAGGUCUCAGACGCCAAACGACUAGGAGCUGCGGGAGGGCGGCGCAGUGCUGGCGACGGCUGCCCUGGGCACAGAGGCGGACGACGCUGGUACGGACUGGCUAUGGGAGCCGCAGGUGCAGCCGGCCGAGCGGAGGCCCGAGUGCAGCCGCUGCAGCCGGUCUCAGAAAGUGUGUUUGUGUCCAUUUCUCCCAGCGCACCCUUUGCAUAUCUCUACCCACUUGUACAUAAUUCAGCAUCCAGCAGAGGAAAACAAAAUGUUGUAGACAGUUCCUCUACUAGCAGCAUGCCUCCCUCAGGACAAGCGCAAAGUAAAGAUUGGUCGUCUCUUCAGUGAAGAAAAAGAUCCUGAACUUUCAACUGUUUGCUGGAAAUUUGGUACAUUAUUAUUAUAUCCAGGGGCUGAAGCUGCUAAUUUGGAAGAAUUUAUGUUAGAUUCUCCGGUUUAUCCUUCACAAUCAUCAUCAUUGAUGGUACACGGAGCCAGGCUAAGGACAUUUUCUGUAAGAAUUCCUUGUUCUGACACCCCAAACAGGUGCAGUUAAAAACUAGCAUUUCUAGUCAAUAUGUAAUUCGGAUGCAGCCAACUAAUAGAAGUCUUUCUACACUGGAGUGUGCAGCUGUUGCUCUUUCCAUCUUGGAGAAAAGUAAUUACAUAAAAGAGACUUUGUCUCGCCCUCUUGAAACUUUAUGCUCUUUCCAACGUUAGCAUGGUGCCCAAAUUAGCCUCAGCAAGGAACACCUUCUGAAAAAUGGAUUAUAUCCUAAACCAAUGCCAAAGAACAAACGCAAACUCAGGAAAAUGCAACUGUUAAAGAAUAGUGUUAAAAUUUAGUACAGUUGUUCUUUUGGUGCUAGCUUACCUGUCUUCAUCUAACAAUACCAAGUUAAGUUUUCAUAUAGUUUAGGUCUAUAGGUUUUUGACUUGCUAAAGUAGAAUGAGAAUUGCAUACUAAUCUUGCCCAGAAGAAGGAAGUAAACCAAAUAUCCAUAGAAACAAAUAAACAAACGAAAAUUCACUGACUCACUGAAAAGCAAGAGUUCAUACUGUACUUGUUUUUAAAAAUGUGCCUCUAAUAAUACAUGUUUUCAAACUCAAAUUUAAAAUGUGUUUUGUUGUUGAGCUGGGUUUGAAGUUCUUGCUUGUAAAAUAGAAGGAAAUUGUUGUGGUAGAUUGAAACAGUAUUGUUUUCAUUAAUGUUUAUAAAUAAGUAGGUGUAGACCAAUAAUAUAAGAUACCUACAUCAAUUUGCUAUCCUAACUUUAUAAUUUGAAAUAAGUAGCAGAAGAAAAUUAUGAUAAUCAAGUAAUUCAUUAUUUUGUAAAAUAAUAUAAAGGGAUAAGAAAACCUCAUUGUUAAGGGCUAAAUUUGAAUUCAGCUAAUAUGAUUUAAGUAUUCUAUUAAUUGCCCUGAUUUUUAAAGAGGUACAUGUAAUUUUGAAACAGCACACAUUUUCAUUUGCAGUUACUCUGGAUAAAUUUUUAUUUUUCAGUGUUCAUUGAACAGGCUUAUUGACUAUGGUAAACUUAUUUUAUUGAAGUUUUCAAAUGGAAAAUAGUAAGUGGAAUAUGAUACAACUGUUAUUUUCAGAACAUAUUUCUUUAGGGCUAUUUAAAAUAACCUUUUUAUUGGGCAAAAACUUUCAACUUGAGAGAACAAAUUCCUCUCCUCUGUGGGAAAAUAUUUGCUGAGAUUUUGUAUAGCAUAAGAGACAUGUAGGUAACAUAUAUUUAUAUUCAGCAUAAGUCUACUGCAAUCAUGAACACGUCUUGGCAAGAAGAGGAGAUUUUGUUUUUAGUCUUUGUUUAUGACUUCUAGAGUUUCCUGUAUCUAGUGUUAAGUUGUAAGGAAAAACUAAACAUGCAAUUUAAAGGUAAACUUGAUAACUAUUUAUGGAACAUAAGCAUACACUGAUGGUUAUUUCUCAUAGUUUUCAUGCUCAUUUGUUUAUUAUUUACUUGGAUUAGACUCAUUAAAAACCAUAAUGGUGGUCACAAUUAGAAUGCUAGUAUUUGGGGAAACUAUGCAGAAAAUAUUUUAAAAUAUUAAAAGUUAGAGUGCUAUCUUCUGUUGUUGAUUUAUUUUUGGAUUUAAAAACAAAUUAGGGCUGGGCCCAAUAGCUCACACCUGUAAUCCCAGCACUUUGGGAGGCUGAGAAGUGAGAAUUGCUUGAGUCCAGGAGUUUGAGACCAGCCUGGGCAACAUGGUAAGGCCCCACCUCCACACAACUUUUUUUUUUUUUAAAUAAUUAUCCAGACGUGGUGGUGUGCACCUGUGAUCCCAGUUGCUUAGGAGGCUGAGGCAGGAGGAUUGCUUGGGCCCAAGAGGUCGAGGCUGCAGGAAGCUGUGUUCAUUCCACUGCACUCCAGCCUGGGUUACAGAGUGAGACCUGUCUCCAAAAAUAAAUAAAUAAAUAAAUAAAUAAAUAAAUAAAUAAGCUCAUUUACAAUGUAAAAAACCUAAUAUCAGAUGAUUACUUGGUGUACUAGAAAAGAAAUAGCAUAUAAUAAUAUAUAAUAGUGUCUUAACAAGUGGGGCUAAAAGCAUUUUAUAGUAACUUUUCACAUUGAUGUUAAACUUUAUGAGUUUCCUUUAGUCAUUAGUAUUUUUUAAAAAGAAAACUCCCCCAUCCCUAAUAUGCAAUUUUGUACCUCAAAAUUUUACUUUGUUGAUUUUUAAACAGUAAUUUCUACUUUUAUCUUUUAAAUAAAACAUUUUUGAGUAUUUUUGAAGACUUAAAAAGCUUAACAUUUAGUAUUCUUGGAAAUGUAUAACAUUUUCUUGAAGUAUGUAGUUUUCCAAAUUAUUUUACUGGCCUGUUAACUCACUUUACUUGUUUUUUACCUAUAUUUUCCUGACCUCUUUACAAGGCAAGUCCAUUUAAUCAUCUGUGGUACAAAGUGCUUCUCUAGUCACCUGUUCUCAUUAAACAGUUUUAAGUAAGUUUUAAAGUCAUUAUUUUAAUUACUAAAAGUUCUCAAAGUGUGUAGUAUUAUGUGAGCAUUUUAACUGAAAAUUUAGUCAGGGUUUUAAAAAGUACUUUUUUAUUGUAUUAGUUGGCUUUUAAAUUCAGAUUCUUUAUAUUUGCUUGAUUUUCCUGGAAGUUCCAGGCUUUAUGAAUUUGUAGCUGAUAGUAAGUUUUGCUUGUGUACCCCAACUGCACUUUGAUGUGGUAUAGAUGGUUUUGUGAGUUAUUUGAACCAUGUAACUCAGAGAAUAGUAUUUCCUUAUAUAUAAAGUGACUUCAGUUUUAAUCAGCCCAUUAUAGUAUAUUGAAAUCACUGUGUGUAAUGAGAGAUAUUGAGAGUUUCUAGCACAAAGGGUUGAGAACUAUAUUACACGAAGUAAGUCACAGUGCAUGGCAACUUUCUACAGGUUGGAUUACAAGACUUCUUAUGUGGAGUAGGAUAAUUAUAUUGGGAAAAAUUAUUUUUGCUAACUUUAAGACUCCAGAGACACCUUUCUCAGCCAUGACCAGUAAUGUUUUUAAAAGAUUUUGGAAGGAAUAAGCUCCUCACUAUACCACCAGUUCAUGAUUUUAAAGGAGGAGACCACCCCUCAUAUUGUCUUAUGCUUAAUGUCUGCCUCCAAAGAAAGAAGAAGUAAAAACUAAAAAGCAGAAAUGAAAUCCACAAGCAGACAGCCCAGCACCACACCCUGGGCCUGGCAGUUAAAGAUCGACCCCUGACCUAAUCGGUUAUGUUAUCUGUAGUUUACAGACAUUGUAUAGAAAAGUACUGUGAAAAUCCCUGUCCUGUUCUGUUCUGUUCUAAUUACCGGUGCAUGCAGCUCCCAGUCACGUACCCCCUGCUUGCUCAAUCAAUCACAACCCUCUCACGAGGAGCCCCUUAGAGUUGUGAGCCCUUAAAGGGACAGGAAUUGCUCACUCGGGGAGCUCAGUUGUUGGAGACGUGAGUCUUGCCGAAGCUCCCGGCUGAAUAAAGCCCUUUCU